GGUAAUGGCGAAUGAAGGGGGGUGAGUGCAAGAUGGAAUCAGGGCUUGCCCUGGUGUGUUGUGUCGUGGCGUUGUGCCAGUUCAUGGUGCGAGUGGAAACCUCUUGGAAUUGAGUGCCUUGGAGAGCUACUGCCUCGGACACUUGCUCCCUGAGCGGAUGGUACACUGCUCUUGAGUCGCAUUCCCCGGUCACGGAGUGCUAAGUGUGUGGUUCCUCUCUCCCAACGCUACCUGGACAUGUGAGACUGACAGACGAGAAGUACCAUGAGGGAAGUGUGAAAAGGACUUUGAAAAGAGGGUUAAGAGUACGUAAAACAGCUGUGCAGGAAGAGAAUUCAAUCUGUGUCUGCAGUAAGGUUGCCACACCUGCUUGCUGUACUUGCCCGUUUCCAGGGUGUGUGCUUGCUUGCAAUGUGUCGUGAUUUCUCUGCAGCAGCCACGAGCGCGCAGCAAUUUGAAAAGAGGCAGCACAACAAUCUCCAGGUGAUCUUGGUGUUGUCUUGCGGCUGCUUUCAAAGACACUGCGUGCUCAGCGCUUGCUUUCUUGCAUGCCUUUGUGGCCUUGUUGUUUUUUCCCCGUCUUGAAACACGGAUCAAGGAGUCUAACAUGCGUGCGAGUCUGUUGGGGCAACCCCAGUUCAGGCGUAAUGAACGUGUCGCUUUGAGCUGUGCAGGAGCAACCGAUUGCUUGCAAUGAAGCUGUUUGAGUUUGGGCACAUGUGUUAGCACCCGAAAGGUGGUGAACUAUGCCUGUGGAGUGUGAAGUCAGGGGAAACUCUGGUGGAGGUUUAUCGUGGUAUUGACGUGCAAAUCGUUCGCUUGACUUG
This 827-nucleotide ribosomal RNA is filed under the name Amphidinium sp. RNAcentral describes it as "partial large subunit ribosomal RNA". It matches the Rfam family "Eukaryotic large subunit ribosomal RNA", at positions 82 to 913 of the family's 3401-position model. The record is from RNAcentral. Lineage: Eukaryota; Dinophyceae; Amphidiniales; Amphidiniaceae.